Molecule: non-coding RNA, 228 nt
Organism: Meleagris gallopavo (turkey)
Lineage: Eukaryota; Metazoa; Chordata; Aves; Galliformes; Phasianidae
Source: RefSeq, a predicted model, not a curated record
UAUGGGUUGUGGGAUAUAUGGGAUAUAUGGGAUGUGGGAUAUGGGGUGUGGGGUGUGGGAUGUGGGAUAUGGGGGAUCCCACAGCCCUGCUAUGUCCUGAUCGACCUGUAUGGGCAGUGCCAGCAGGUGACGGUGGUCUCUGAUGGGGACGAGGUCGGGGCGGCCCGCGCCCGUGGGGACGUGGAGAAGGCGGACGUGGUGGAUGGGAUGAAGGAACCGCGCUGGGCC